AGAAUCAACGCUGGCGGCGUGCCUAAUACAUGCAAGUCGAACGCGAAAGUGGAGCAAUCCAUGAGUAGAGUGGCAAACGGGUGAGUAACACGUGGGUGACCUGCCUUAGAGUGGGGGAUAACGUCCCGAAAGGGACGCUAAUACCGCAUAACAUCCCGCCUUUUAAGAGGCGGAGAUCAAAGCCGGGGAUCGCAAGACCUGGCGCUUUUAGAGGGGCCCGCGCCUGAUUAGCUAGUUGGUGGGGUAAUGGCUCACCAAGGCAACGAUCAGUA
RNAcentral lists this ribosomal RNA (272 nucleotides) under uncultured bacterium. RNAcentral describes it as "partial small subunit ribosomal RNA". It matches the Rfam family "Bacterial small subunit ribosomal RNA", at positions 26 to 285 of the family's 1533-position model. The record is from RNAcentral.